RNAcentral lists this ribosomal RNA (584 nucleotides) under uncultured bacterium. RNAcentral's name for it is "bacterial SSU rRNA". It matches the Rfam family "Bacterial small subunit ribosomal RNA", at positions 14 to 595 of the family's 1533-position model. The record is from RNAcentral.
UGAUCAUGGCUCAGAUUGAACGCUGGCGGCAUGCCUUACACAUGCAAGUCGAACGGUAACAGGUCUUCGGAUGCUGACGAGUGGCGAACGGGUGAGUAAUACAUCGGAACGUGCCCGAUCGUGGGGGAUAACGAAGCGAAAGCUUUGCUAAUACCGCAUACGAUCUACGGAUGAAAGCAGGGGACCGCAAGGCCUUGCGCGAACGGAGCGGCCGAUGGCAGAUUAGGUAGUUGGUGGGAUAAAAGCUUACCAAGCCGACGAUCUGUAGCUGGUCUGAGAGGACGACCAGCCACACUGGGACUGAGACACGGCCCAGACUCCUACGGGAGGCAGCAGUGGGGAAUUUUGGACAAUGGGCGAAAGCCUGAUCCAGCCAUGCCGCGUGCAGGAUGAAGGCCUUCGGGUUGUAAACUGCUUUUGUACGGAACGAAAAGACUCUGGUUAAUACCUGGGGUCCAUGACGGUACCGUAAGAAUAAGCACCGGCUAACUACGUGCCAGCAGCCGCGGUAAUACGUAGGGUGCAAGCGUUAAUCGGAAUUACUGGGCGUAAAGCGUGCGCAGGCGGUUAUAUAAGACAGAUGU